RNAcentral lists this ribosomal RNA (121 nucleotides) under Chamaecyparis pisifera (sawara cypress). The record is from RNAcentral. Lineage: Eukaryota; Viridiplantae; Streptophyta; Pinopsida; Cupressales; Cupressaceae.
GGGUGCGACCAUACCAGCGUUAGUGCACCGGAUCCCAUCAGAACUCCGCAGUUAAGCGCGCUUGGGCCGGAGUAGUACUGGGAUGGGUGACCUCCCGGGAAGUCCCGGGUGUUGCACCCUG